RNAcentral lists this ribosomal RNA (253 nucleotides) under uncultured bacterium. RNAcentral's name for it is "partial 16S ribosomal RNA". It matches the Rfam family "Bacterial small subunit ribosomal RNA", at positions 524 to 776 of the family's 1533-position model. The record is from RNAcentral.
UACGUAGGGAGCAAGCGUUGUCCGGAAUCAUUGGGCGUAAAGCGCGCGUAGGCGGCCUCAUAAGUCCGUUGUGAAAGUCAAAGGCUCAACCUUUGAAAGCCGAUGGAUACUGUGAGGCUAGAGUCCGGAAGAGGCGAGUGGAAUUCCAGGUGUAGCGGUGAAAUGCGUAGAUAUCUGGAGGAACACCGGUGGCGAAGGCGGCGUCCUGGACCAACACUGACACUGAGGAGCGAAAGCCAGGGGAGCAAACGGG